RNAcentral lists this ribosomal RNA (478 nucleotides) under Valenzuela badiostigma. Its description in RNAcentral is "partial 16S rRNA". Lineage: Eukaryota; Metazoa; Arthropoda; Insecta; Psocodea; Caeciliusidae. The record is from RNAcentral.
AUAUAAUUUAAAAUCUAAUCUGCUCACUGAGUAUUUUAAAGAGCCGCAGUAUUUUGACUGUGCAAAGGUAGCAUAAUCAAUAGGUUUUUAAUUGAAAUCUGGAACGAAUGAUUGGAUGACAAAUCUUCUUUCUUAAUUUUAUAUAUUGAAUUUAAAUUUUAGGUUAAAAUUCCUAAAUAUAAUUAAAAGACGAGAAGACCCUAUAGAUUUUUAUUUAUUUAUUAAAUUAAAUAUAUAUGUAUUAAUUUAUAGUUAAAUUUAAUUGGGGUGAUUUUGUAAUAUAAUAAACUUAAUUUUUUUGUACCAUAAAUAAUUGAAUUUUUUAAUCUAAAAUUUUUAAAUUAAGAAUAAAUUACCUUAGGGAUAACAGCGUUAUAUUAUUUAAGAGUUCAUAUCUAUAAUAAUGAUUGCGACCUCGAUGUUGAAUUAAGAUAAUUAUAGGAGUAGAAGCUUAUAAUUUUAGUCUGUUCGACUAAUA